Molecule: ribosomal RNA, 253 nt
Filed under: uncultured bacterium
Lineage: Bacteria
Description: partial 16S ribosomal RNA
Rfam family: Bacterial small subunit ribosomal RNA
Source: RNAcentral
UACGGGGGGGGCAAGCGUUGUUCGGAAUUACUGGGCGUAAAGGGUUCGUAGGUGGCCUGCUAAGUCAGACGUGAAAUCCCUCAGCUCAACUGGGGAACUGCGUCUGAGACUGGUGGGCUUGAGUGCAGGAGAGGAACGCGGAAUUCCAGGUGUAGCGGUGAAAUGCGUAGAUAUCGGGAGGAACAUCCGUGGCGAAGGCGGCCACCUGGACCAACAUUGACGCUGAGGCACGAAGGCGUGGGGAGCAAACAGG